GAUGAAGAACGUAGUGAAAUGCGAUACUUGGUGUGAAUUGCAGAAUCCCGUGAACCAUCGAGUCUUUGAACGCAAGUUGCGCCCGAAGCCAUUAGGCCGAGGGCACGCCUGCCUGGGCGUCACACGUCGUUGCCCCCCCAUCUACUCCUUCGGGAUUGCGGGGGGCGGAUGAUGGCCUCUCGUGCGCCUCGUCGCGCGGUUGGCCUAAAUGCCAAGUCCUCGGCGACGCACGCCACGACAAUCGGUGGUGGCGAAACCUCGGUUGCCUGUCGUGUGCGGUCGUCGCGCAUCGAGGGCUCGAAAAAAUUGCCGGGCUUCGGCUCGACUUUCAACGCGACCCCAGGUCAGGCGGGGUUACCCGCUGAAUUUAAGCAUAUCAAUAAGCGGAGGA
This 391-nucleotide unclassified non-coding RNA is filed under the name soil metagenome. Its description in RNAcentral is "partial contains 5.8S ribosomal RNA, internal transcribed spacer 2, and large subunit ribosomal RNA". The stretch from base 1 to 122 matches the Rfam family "5.8S ribosomal RNA", at positions 35 to 154 of the family's 154-position model. The record is from RNAcentral.